UGAAGACCUUACCCGAUUAGCUGAGAGGUGGUGCAUGGCCGUCGUCAGUUCGUACUGUGAAGCAUCCUGUUAAGUCAGGCAACGAGCCGAGACCCACGUCCACAGUUGCCAGCAUACCCUCCGGGGUGAUGGGUACACUGUGGAGACCGCCGCUGCUAAAGCGGAGGAAGGAGUGGGCAACGGUAGGUCAGUAUGCCCCGAAUCUCCCGGGCUACACGCGGGCUACAAUGGUUGGUACAAUGGGCAUCUACCCCGAAAGGGGAAGGAAAUCUCUUAAAGCCAAUCGUAGUUCGGAUUGAGGGCUGCAACUCGCCCUCAUGAAGCUGGAAUCCGUAGUAAUCGCGUUUCAACAGAACGCGGUGAAUACGUCCCUGCUCCUU
RNAcentral lists this ribosomal RNA (380 nucleotides) under uncultured Methanosaeta sp. RNAcentral describes it as "bacterial SSU rRNA". It matches the Rfam family "Archaeal small subunit ribosomal RNA", at positions 960 to 1338 of the family's 1478-position model. The record is from RNAcentral. Lineage: Archaea; Methanobacteriati; Methanobacteriota; Methanomicrobia; Methanotrichales; Methanotrichaceae.